This 69-nucleotide ribosomal RNA is filed under the name Culicoides montanus. RNAcentral describes it as "partial 5.8S ribosomal RNA". Lineage: Eukaryota; Metazoa; Arthropoda; Insecta; Diptera; Ceratopogonidae. The record is from RNAcentral.
GCGUGUCACCAUGUGAACCGCAGGACACACGAUCAUUGACAUGUUGAACGCAUAUUGCACCCCAUGCGA